GCACGUUGGAAGUCACGUUACCUGGAUACUGUCACCUGGAUACUGUCACCUGCUGGCUGACAGCGCUACAAGCCGAGAAGGACUCAGCCUGACAGUUGGUCAAGGUGAAAGCAUUACUUGUGUCUUAGUUCCGUCAGUCUUUAAUGUACAGUUUAGAGGGGAAAAUAUGUUGCCUGUUAGGUCCAUAUAUGUGCCCCGGUUUGGCUCACCGCUGGGCUCCAGUCAAAGAGAUGAACCACAACCAGACCAGACCACGGCCCGGACAACCCAGACUAAGCACCCAUCUCGGGACAAGCGCGGGAACAAGCACGGGAACAAGCGGGGUAACGUUGUAAAAGCUCGGGUCUUUUUAAAAGUUAAAUUACCAAAACUCAACAGCAGUUUGACCAACAAAGUGACACAAGAGGACAGACCGAAAAGAUGGACGAAGGAGCCAGCAGCAAAUACAACCACGACAACUGUGAGCCGAGGAGGUAUGAGCUUCAAACGGGCACGAGACGCCUCUGUCUCCUCCGACAGAGCAGAGACUGGGACUAAUCGCAGCGGGCGCCACACACCUCAGGAAGGUAGCAAUUUUCUAUCAUUACCGUUAAAUCCUGCUUAAAAGAACCGGAUUCCACAGACCUAAUUACAAGGUGUUAAUAAUAACAAUCUAAUGAC
RNAcentral lists this long non-coding RNA (660 nucleotides) under Cottoperca gobio. RNAcentral's name for it is "lncRNA (ENSCGOG00000013711.1)". Lineage: Eukaryota; Metazoa; Chordata; Actinopteri; Perciformes; Bovichtidae. The record is from RNAcentral.